AACGUUCUGAAUCCGUGCUGAGAUUUCGUCAGACACCAACCUAUUAAGGCUGAUCAGACUCCCAAGAUAAGUGAAGUU
Non-coding RNA from Schistosoma rodhaini, 78 nucleotides. The record is from Rfam. NCBI's taxonomy places the organism in Eukaryota, Metazoa, Platyhelminthes, Trematoda, Strigeidida, Schistosomatidae.